This 29-nucleotide non-coding RNA is filed under the name Rattus norvegicus (Norway rat). Lineage: Eukaryota; Metazoa; Chordata; Mammalia; Rodentia; Muridae. The record is from RNAcentral.
UAUUGAUGUUGUCUGAUAAUGGGUGGCAC